This 428-nucleotide ribosomal RNA is filed under the name uncultured marine bacterium. Its description in RNAcentral is "bacterial SSU rRNA". It matches the Rfam family "Bacterial small subunit ribosomal RNA", at positions 360 to 804 of the family's 1533-position model. The record is from RNAcentral.
AAUCUUGCACAAUGGACGAAAGUCUGAUGCAGCGACGCCGCGUGGGGGAUGAAGGCCCUAGGGUCGUAAACCCCUUUCAGUGGGGACGAAAAUGACGGUACCCACAGAAGAAGGUCCGGCCAACUACGUGCCAGCAGCCGCGGUAAGACGUAGGGACCGAGCGUUGUCCGGAAUUAUUGGGCGUAAAGAGCUCGUAGGCGGUUGCGUAAGUCGGAUGUGAAAGCUCAGGGCUCAACCCUGAGACGCCAUCCGAUACUGCGCUGGCUUGAAUCCAGUAGGGGAGUGUGGAAUUCCUGGUGUAGCGGUGAAAUGCGCAGAUAUCAGGAGGAACACCUAUGGCGAAGGCAGCACUCUGGGCUGGUAUUGACGCUGAGGAGCGAAAGCAUGGGUAGCAAACAGGAUUAGAUACCCUGGUAGUCCAUGCCGUA